Molecule: long non-coding RNA, 251 nt
Organism: Sander lucioperca (pikeperch)
Lineage: Eukaryota; Metazoa; Chordata; Actinopteri; Perciformes; Percidae
Exons: 3
Source: RefSeq, a predicted model, not a curated record
UGAUUCACUACUGCCACGUCCAGCCACAUGCAAAGCUAUGGAAACAAAAUUCAAAUAGGGUGAAACUAUACAAAAAAAAACCUGUUUCAGUCCAGACACAGCAGGUGCAAAUAAUCCUGAUGCCUUCAAAUUUAUUUUCCCCUUCAUGACAUGAAGUCAACAACUGUACAAAUAACAGAUCUUCUAUUUCACAUUUAAGACUCUCCAGAUCAGAGAAACUUACAGGACUUUUGGUGGGGUUCGGUGACUUC